RNAcentral lists this ribosomal RNA (253 nucleotides) under uncultured bacterium. Its description in RNAcentral is "partial 16S ribosomal RNA". It matches the Rfam family "Bacterial small subunit ribosomal RNA", at positions 524 to 776 of the family's 1533-position model. The record is from RNAcentral.
UACGUAGGGUGCAAGCGUUAAUCGGAAUUACUGGGCGUAAAGCGUGCGCAGGCGGCUAUGUAAGACAGAUGUGAAAUGCCCGGGCUUAUCCUGGGAACUGCAUUUGUGACUGCAUGGCUAGAGUGUGUCAGAGGGGGGUAGAAUUCCACGUGUAGCAGUGAAAUGCGUAGAUAUGUGGAGGAAUACCGAUGGCGAAGGCAGCCCCCUGGGAUAACACUGACGCUCAUGCACGAAAGCGUGGGGAGCAAACAGG